UACAGAGGUGGCAAGCGUUGUUCGGAAUUACUGGGCGUAAAGCGCGCGUAGGCGGCUUUGUAAGUUAGAGGUGAAAGCCCGGAGCUCAACUCCGGAACUGCCUUUAAGACUGCAUCGCUAGAACGAUGGAGAGGUGAGUGGAAUUCCGAGUGUAGAGGUGAAAUUCGUAGAUAUUAGGAAGAACACCAGUGGCGAAGGCGACUCACUGGACAUCUGUUGACGCUGAGGUGCGAAAGCGUGGGGAGCAAACAGG
RNAcentral lists this ribosomal RNA (253 nucleotides) under uncultured bacterium. RNAcentral's name for it is "partial 16S ribosomal RNA". It matches the Rfam family "Bacterial small subunit ribosomal RNA", at positions 524 to 776 of the family's 1533-position model. The record is from RNAcentral.